Long non-coding RNA from Phodopus roborovskii (desert hamster), 282 nucleotides. RefSeq lists it as uncharacterized. NCBI's taxonomy places the organism in Eukaryota, Metazoa, Chordata, Mammalia, Rodentia, Cricetidae. The transcript has 3 exons. The record is from RefSeq and is a predicted model, not a curated record.
ACGAGCUUAGGUCUGCCCUGCCCAUCCCAGCUCAGGAGCAGGGCGAGCACCGAGGUGGCGAGCGCCAGGGGGACCGGGCCUCCCACCUCGUAUAUGGCAAAGUUUCUCGCGGCGCUUCUGGGCUGCACGCUGCCGAGCAAGGGCGCCUCUUCCAUGCUGGAGUCGAAAAGCCAUUCCCAAGUUGGCCUGAAAUCAAGCACAAAGCAAAAGGGCACCAUUUUUAGCACACUGGCUGGUGAGAAGUCCUCAUCGGACUACAAAAAGGUAAGAAGUGGGCGUGUG